GGGGGUUUAGCUCAGUGGCAUAAGCGCCUGCCUUGAAAGCAGGCAGUCGUAAGUUCGAUCCCCA
This 64-nucleotide transfer RNA is filed under the name Cavia porcellus (domestic guinea pig). It matches the Rfam family "tRNA", at positions 1 to 62 of the family's 71-position model. From Rfam's summary of the family: Transfer RNA (tRNA) molecules are approximately 80 nucleotides in length. Their secondary structure includes four short double-helical elements and three loops (D, anti-codon, and T loops). Further hydrogen bonds mediate the characteristic L-shaped molecular structure. tRNAs have two regions of fundamental functional importance: the anti-codon, which is responsible for specific mRNA codon recognition, and the 3' end, to which the tRNAs corresponding amino acid is attached (by aminoacyl-tRNA synthetases). tRNAs cope with the degeneracy of the genetic code in two manners: having more than one tRNA (with a specific anti-codon) for a particular amino acid; and 'wobble' base-pairing, i.e. permitting non-standard base-pairing at the 3rd anti-codon position. The record is from Rfam by way of RNAcentral. Lineage: Eukaryota; Metazoa; Chordata; Mammalia; Rodentia; Caviidae.